UCGUUACUGGGUGGAUGCAACGACUUCGCAUGUAUCAGCAACGCAGCUGAUGUUUAUUUAAAAAUUCUGAAAACCAUCGGGAAACAACGGAAGCUAUUGGUAAAAAGGUUAACGGAAACGAAACAAACGCAUUCGUCGUUCCAGGUAGUACACUUACUCUGAUUCGAAAAUCAUUUGCAGAAAACGUAGGCGUUUUGUAACGAUGUGCAAUAACCCUGAAUGGAUUUGGAGGAGAAACAUUUUUCUGUAACCAAAAACUAAAUGCGAAAGUCGUUGUUGACAAGAUAGGUUGAAAUUCUUGUAGUGGAAAAUGACUUAAUAUCUGAAAAAGUUUUAUUGGAAACGACUCAAAAUCGAGCGGAUACGGAAAACGAAAAAUUGGAAAAAGUCUUAACAGAUAAUGCUGCUUGUUUCUUGCACAAGACCAACGAAUUAGGUAAACGCUCAAUAUCGAAAAUGAAAAUCGUUUUAACAUCAAACGUCCCAUGUUAUACGAAACCAUACCGAACACCGUUUGCGCUCAGACCUAUUGUUACGAAUUUCAUAUCUGAAUUAUUGUAAAACGUCAUUCGACAUUCGUCCUUCGGAUUCGACGUAC
Drosophila willistoni is the source of this 598-nucleotide long non-coding RNA. RefSeq lists it as uncharacterized. The transcript has 3 exons. NCBI's taxonomy places the organism in Eukaryota, Metazoa, Arthropoda, Insecta, Diptera, Drosophilidae. The record is from RefSeq and is a predicted model, not a curated record.